AGUCUCCUGGUGCUUACCACAGGCUAUGUUCUUAUACUGACUGUACAGAAGGAGGAGGCAGAGUAAGCCUACCCGACAUGCACCUCAGCCCCAGCCCUGUGCCUGGUCUGUGUUGUGAAUGAGGGGACAUGG
Molecule: small nucleolar RNA, 132 nt
Filed under: Propithecus coquereli (Coquerel's sifaka)
Lineage: Eukaryota; Metazoa; Chordata; Mammalia; Primates; Indriidae
Description: Small nucleolar RNA SNORA51 (ENSPCOG00000001091.1)
Rfam family: Small nucleolar RNA SNORA51
About the family: ACA51 is a member of the H/ACA class of snoRNA that guide the sites of modification of uridines to pseudouridines.
Source: Rfam by way of RNAcentral